GUCACGAUAGCUCAAGUGGUAAGAGCAGAGGUGUUUUGAACCGAAGGUCGCGGGUUCGAAUCCCGCUCGUGACA
Cimex lectularius (bed bug) is the source of this 74-nucleotide non-coding RNA. Lineage: Eukaryota; Metazoa; Arthropoda; Insecta; Hemiptera; Cimicidae. The record is from the annotation of a RefSeq genome assembly.